RNAcentral lists this ribosomal RNA (254 nucleotides) under uncultured bacterium. RNAcentral describes it as "partial 16S ribosomal RNA". It matches the Rfam family "Bacterial small subunit ribosomal RNA", at positions 524 to 776 of the family's 1533-position model. The record is from RNAcentral.
UACGUAGGGGGCAAGCGUUGUCCGGAUUUAUUGGGCGUAAAGAGCGUGUAGGCGGCCACACAGGUCAGCUGUGAAAACUCGAGGCUCAACCUCGAGACGUCGGUUGAAACCGUAUGGCUAGAGUCCGGAAGAGGAGAGUGGAAUUCCCGGUGUAGCGGUGAAAUGCGCAGAUAUCGGGAAGAACACCCGUGGCGAAGGCGGCUCUCUGGGACGGUACUGGACGCUGAGACGCGAAAGCGUGGGGAGCGAACAGG